Molecule: ribosomal RNA, 556 nt
Filed under: Rosa macrophylla
Lineage: Eukaryota; Viridiplantae; Streptophyta; Magnoliopsida; Rosales; Rosaceae
Description: eukaryotic LSU rRNA
Rfam family: 5.8S ribosomal RNA (bases 220-375)
Source: RNAcentral
GCGCUUGGGGGCGGAGGGUCUUGCGGCUCUGCGCCCCCUUAUCCUAGGAGGCAAGUGUCUUGCGUGUUGCAUUUCGGUGCUUGCGCUUGACCGACCCUCCCGGGCGUACUGAACACCGGCGUGAAUUGCGCCAAGGAACUUGAAUGAAAGAGCGUUUCCCCCGCCGUCCCGGAGACGGUGCUCGUGCGGGUGGUUUCGUCGUCUUCAAUAUGUCUAAACGACUCUCGGCAACGGAUAUCUCGGCUCUCGCAUCGAUGAAGAACGUAGCGAAAUGCGAUACUUGGUGUGAAUUGCAGAAUCCCGUGAACCAUCGAGUCUUUGAACGCAAGUUGCGCCCGAAGCCAUUAGGCCGAGGGCACGUCUGCCUGGGCGUCACACGUCGUUGCCCCCCCCAACCCCCUCGGGAGUUGGAUGGGACGGAUGAUGGCCUCCCGUGUGCUCAGUCACGCGGUUGGCAUAAAUACCAAGUCCUCGGCGACCAACGCCACGACAAUCGGUGGUUGUCAAACCUCGGUUUCCUGUCGUGCGCGCGUGUUGAUCGAGUGCUUUCGUAAAU